Abrus precatorius (Indian licorice) is the source of this 258-nucleotide long non-coding RNA. RefSeq lists it as uncharacterized. The transcript is spliced from 3 exons. The record is from RefSeq and is a predicted model, not a curated record. NCBI's taxonomy places the organism in Eukaryota, Viridiplantae, Streptophyta, Magnoliopsida, Fabales, Fabaceae.
AAUUAAGGUUGCAAUUCGUCUUUGAAAAAAGAAAAGAAAAGAAAAUUGGAGUUGAAGCUUGUAGGCUACAAGGGACACCAUCACCGCAAUCGGGGAAGCAUUCAGUGGAUCCAUUCCACUCCAUCACUCAUUCUGAACCAACCAACCAUCUACUCUCACACUGCCAUGUUCCGAAGGUCCAUUUUCGAAAUAUCAUCUCGAUCAACGCUUAGAAGACAUUUUAUAAAUCAGACACCUUCACAUCUAGCUUCACGAAAG